RNAcentral lists this ribosomal RNA (513 nucleotides) under uncultured bacterium. RNAcentral's name for it is "partial 16S ribosomal RNA". It matches the Rfam family "Bacterial small subunit ribosomal RNA", at positions 28 to 523 of the family's 1533-position model. The record is from RNAcentral.
GACGAACGCUGGCGGCGUGCCUAAUACAUGCAAGUUGAGCGCUGAAGGUUGGUACUUGUACCGACUGGAUGAGCAGCGAACGGGUGAGUAACGCGUGGGGAAUCUGCCUUUGAGCGGGGGACAACAUUCGGAAACGAAUGCUAAUACCGCAUAAAAACUUUAAACUCAAGUUUUAAGUUUGAAAGAUGCAAUUGCAUCACUCAAAGAUGAUCCCGCGUUGUAUUAGCUAGUUGGUGAGGUAAAGGCUCACCAAGGCGAUGAUACAUAGCCGACCUGAGAGGGUGAUCGGCCACAUUGGGACUGAGACACGGCCCAAACUCCUACGGGAGGCAGCAGUAGGGAAUCUUCGGCAAUGGACGAAAGUCUGACCGAGCAACGCCGCGUGAGUGAAGAAGGUUUUCGGAUCGUAAAACUCUGUUGGUAGAGAAGAACGUUGGUGAGAGUGGAAAGCUCAUCAAGUGACGGUAUCUAACCAGAAAGGGACGGCUAACUACGUGCCAGCCGCCGCCGUAA